GUGAAUCAUCAAAUCUUUGAACGCAAAUUGCACUCCCUGGUAUUCCGGGGAGUAUGCCUGUUUGAGGAUCGUUAGAAUAAAAAAUCGAUUCGGCGCUCUUUUUUUUAAGGGUGAUCGCGUCGGAAUUGAGCCGUCUUUCAAAUUGUAAUUCAUGUCAAAAUGGCGUCAAAUUUAUCCAUCCUGUACGAUUGAAACGUAUUUAAUAGUAAUUUUCAUUAA
Molecule: unclassified non-coding RNA, 219 nt
Filed under: Glomeraceae sp.
Lineage: Eukaryota; Fungi; Glomeromycota; Glomeromycetes; Glomerales; Glomeraceae
Description: partial contains 5.8S ribosomal RNA and internal transcribed spacer 2
Rfam family: 5.8S ribosomal RNA (bases 1-71)
Source: RNAcentral